This 459-nucleotide ribosomal RNA is filed under the name uncultured bacterium. RNAcentral's name for it is "partial 16S ribosomal RNA". It matches the Rfam family "Bacterial small subunit ribosomal RNA", at positions 338 to 795 of the family's 1533-position model. The record is from RNAcentral.
CCUACGGGAGGCAGCAGUGAGGAAUAUUGGUCAAUGGCCGGAAGGCUGAACCAGCCAAGCCGCGUGAAGGACGAAGGUGCCAAGCAUUGUAAACCUCUUUUGUCGGGGAGCAAAAGACGCCACGCGUGGCGUUCCGAGAGUACCCGAAGAAAAAGCAUCGGCUAACUCCGUGCCAGCAGCCGCGGUAAUACGGAGGAUGCGAGCGUUAUCCGGAUUUAUUGGGUUUAAAGGGUGCGUAGGCGGACAGUCAAGUCAGCGGUAAAAAUGCGGUGCUCAACGCCGUACAGCCGUUGAAACUGGCAGUCUUGAGUGGGCGAGAAGUAUGCGGAAGGCGUGGUGUAGCGGUGAAAUGCAUAGAUAUCACGCAGAACUCCGAUUGCGAAGGCAGCAUACCGGCGCCCUACUGACGCUGAGGCACGAAAGCGUGGGUAUCGAACAGGAUUAGAUACCCUGGUAGUC